This 69-nucleotide transfer RNA is filed under the name Agrilus sichuanus. RNAcentral's name for it is "tRNA-Met". It matches the Rfam family "tRNA". Rfam says of the family: Transfer RNA (tRNA) molecules are approximately 80 nucleotides in length. Their secondary structure includes four short double-helical elements and three loops (D, anti-codon, and T loops). Further hydrogen bonds mediate the characteristic L-shaped molecular structure. tRNAs have two regions of fundamental functional importance: the anti-codon, which is responsible for specific mRNA codon recognition, and the 3' end, to which the tRNAs corresponding amino acid is attached (by aminoacyl-tRNA synthetases). tRNAs cope with the degeneracy of the genetic code in two manners: having more than one tRNA (with a specific anti-codon) for a particular amino acid; and 'wobble' base-pairing, i.e. permitting non-standard base-pairing at the 3rd anti-codon position. Lineage: Eukaryota; Metazoa; Arthropoda; Insecta; Coleoptera; Buprestidae. The record is from RNAcentral.
AAAAAGAUAAGCUAAUAAAGCUAAUGGGUUCAUACCCCUUUUAUGAAGGUAAAAGUCCUUCUCUUUUUA